RNAcentral lists this ribosomal RNA (460 nucleotides) under uncultured bacterium. RNAcentral's name for it is "partial 16S ribosomal RNA". It matches the Rfam family "Bacterial small subunit ribosomal RNA", at positions 338 to 795 of the family's 1533-position model. The record is from RNAcentral.
CCUACGGGAGGCAGCAGUGAGGAAUAUUGGUCAAUGGGCGCGAGCCUGAACCAGCCAAGUAGCGUGAAGGAUGACUGCCCUACGGGUUGUAAACUUCUUUUAUAAAGGAAUAAAGUGAGGCACGUGUGCCUUUUUGUAUGUACUUUAUGAAUAAGGAUCGGCUAACUCCGUGCCAGCAGCCGCGGUAAUACGGAGGGUCCGAGCGUUAUCCGGAUUGAUUGGGUUUAAAGGGAGCGUAGGUGGGUUGUUAAGUCAGUUGUGAAAGUUUGGGGCUCAACCGUAAAAUUGCAAGUGAUACUGGCAGUCUUGAGUACAGUAGAGGUAUGCGGAAUUCGUGGUGUAGCGGUGAAAUGCUUAGAUAUCACGAAGAACUCCGAUUGCGAAGGCAGCUUACUAGACUGCCACUGACAUUGAUGCGCGAAAGUGUGGGUAUCAAACAGGAUUAGAUACCCUGGUAGUC